This 1321-nucleotide long non-coding RNA is filed under the name Anser cygnoides (Swan goose). Its description in RNAcentral is "lncRNA (ENSACDG00005010872.1)". Lineage: Eukaryota; Metazoa; Chordata; Aves; Anseriformes; Anatidae. The record is from RNAcentral.
GAUGCCGUGCAGACAGCUUCUUCCUUUCCUAGGUCUCUGCUUUCCGACCUCCACUCCCCGAGGCCAUCCUGGAAAUGGAGGACGGAGCUGGGUCCCCCAGCCACUGGUUCCACAGUUGCACUUUGCUCCGGGUGAGGCCCGGGGACGCCACCCUGCCACGGUGCUGGCAGCAGGCUGAAGAACUCGCCACCAGCCAUGGAAGACCCAGAGACCCGUCUUCCACCACCAAGGAUCCUUCCUCGCACACCCUGCUCCCGAGGGCAGGAGGCCGGGCACGGGGGCAGCCCCGUCCUGCGCUCAGCAGCUCCGCGCACUCACUCCCCUCCCUGGGAUUUUUUUUCCCUACCCAACCAUGCAGCCUUCGCUGCUCAAUUCCCAUCCACACGCGGGACUUCAAGGCGAGUUUGUAUUCAAACUGAAGGAAGGCAGUUCGCCAUCCUGCCCCAGGCAGCAUCGUGUGGUUCCUCUAAAUACCGUGGGCUCUGCAGGAGCCAGGGCUCGCCAGCCUUCUUGGCUUCCCCACAGGGCACGGUGACUGCCCUGCGGGCUGGCACAGAGGGGCCAAGACCCCCGAGGGGCGUCGUGGGACACAGGCAGAGAAGGGAUGACGGCAGCAGAAGCACGGAUCAGUUAACACAAAGCAGGGCAGUGCCACGGGGCAAGGGGACAAGGCACCUGGCCCCAAGCAGCUGCAGCUGAGGUUUCCCCUCCAUGCCAGCGCCCCAUCCCUUCUGGCUUCAGGACUGGCUUCAGCUGACCCACAUCCUCCUGGUGCUCCGGGGGUCGCUCCCCCGUCCAUCGGGACCCUGUAACUCAGCCCCACCCCCCCCACCUCCUCACAUCUGGAAACCGUCCCAGAUAAACCACGGCUUUCUGUGCCCGAGCUGCUGCCCUGGCACAGAAACGGUCCCAGACCCCUCUCCAAUCCUACUGCCCAAAGCUGAACCAUUCGGGGACACCGAAGGACGCCCUGGCAACUCUGUGCUGCUGCCUGGGAUGGGUUUCAGAUGGCUGUGCCGGGCGGAGGAGCCCUGCUGCUUGCUGCUCACUUACCCAUCCAUUACCCGUCUCGCGUCCAUUAGCUCUCCCUCCACCACCCACCAAGCGACCAGAAGCGUUCCCCAGGCCCCCACGCAGCAUUUGCAGCCCAGAGGAGAGCUGUGCUGAAGUCGCUCCUCCAGGCAUCACCAUUUUGGGCUGCGUUGCCUGUAGUUGCCAGGACGGCGGGCAGCGUCGCGUGGGUUUCACUCAGGCGAUGCCGCUCCUCAGACUACGGGGCUCCUGGGGAGAGCUGGGUGGAAGGGGACGGAGCUUCCCACCU